RNAcentral lists this long non-coding RNA (212 nucleotides) under Carica papaya (papaya). RNAcentral's name for it is "long non-coding RNA (CPAP_LNC004600)". Lineage: Eukaryota; Viridiplantae; Streptophyta; Magnoliopsida; Brassicales; Caricaceae. The record is from RNAcentral.
UAAUACCUUCCCUUAUUACAAACUUCUCAUUGUAAGUCAUUCCUAUGCCACGGGGGUUGAUGCGUCCCUUUGUCCUGCUAGAUUCUCUAAUUAUAUUAGUCAUGGGCAUCGCACAUCCAAUGGUGGGCUUAGUAUUGGCCAGUAUGGUAGAACCCAUGAUUUCAGGGAGGGCAUCCAUCGUCUUCUAAUUAUUGUUUUCCACCACAACAUUU